Molecule: ribosomal RNA, 542 nt
Filed under: Cordyceps farinosa
Lineage: Eukaryota; Fungi; Ascomycota; Sordariomycetes; Hypocreales; Cordycipitaceae
Description: eukaryotic LSU rRNA
Rfam family: 5.8S ribosomal RNA (bases 190-343)
Source: RNAcentral
AUCAUUACCGAGUUUUCAACUCCCAAACCCUUNUUGUGAACAUACCUAUCGUUGCUUCGGCGGACUCGCCCCAGCGUCCGGCCGGCCCCGCGCCGGCCGCGGCCUGGAUCCAGGCGGCCGCCGGAGACCCCCAAACUCUGUAUUCUCAGUACCUUCGAAACCCGCCGCAAGGCAAAACAAAUGAAUCAAAACUUUCAACAACGGAUCUCUUGGUUCUGGCAUCGAUGAAGAACGCAGCAAAAUGCGAUAAGUAAUGUGAAUUGCAGAAUUCAGUGAAUCAUCGAAUCUUUGAACGCACAUUGCGCCCGCCAGCAUUCUGGCGGGCAUGCCUGUUCGAGCGUCAUUUCAACCCUCGACUUCCCUUUGGGGAAAUCGGCGUUGGGGACCGGCCGUAUACCGCCGGCCCCGAAAUGAAGUGGCGGCCCGUCCGCGGCGACCUCUGCGUAGUAAUCCAACUCGCACCGGAACCCCGACGUGGCCACGCCGUNAAAACCCCCGACUUCUGAACGUUGACCUCGGAUCAGGUAGGAAUACCCGCUAAA